GUUGAAGUCUACUAUUUUUAUCUUGUGCAUUUCAGUUGACUCACGGCUGGUUCUUCUUUGGUUUCUGGUCUGACUGAUCCAGGUAGUGGUCCACCUUCCCCAUUCCCAGGUGUCCAGAGCCCCAGAGAAUGAUAUAGCGUAGGGACAUGAUGGCAGCUGCCCUGGUACCAACCAGCCCGAUUGCAGAGCCAAGGAGGUGGAGCCAAGAAAUGGAAGGAGCGGCUCUGUUACUAGGUUGGGCUCAGCAUAACUGGCAGUUGCGCCGAGGGACCCAGCAGCACCAGAGGACCCAGGGCUGCCUGGCAGAGGGAGGCCCGCGCGGAGCUGAUGAUAACUGGACCUCUUCCGUGGGCGCGUGUGAGGUACCUCCCGGAGACUCUGUGAGAAACUUGAGGUGGGGGUGCGGCGGGGAACGUGGAGGGACCUGAGGUCGUGCACGGGUAGAUGGGGCAAGAGCUUGCAAAAUAAGUCACUGUUAUGUAUGCCCUGUAAUAGCAGGUCAAACCACCCUGUGACUUCGCUCUCUUAGGCUGCUCAUAGCACCAUCCCGGCUUGUCUCUUGGCUUGCCUUCCCCGUAUCCCUCCUUCUAAACCCUGCCCUCCCUGGAAAAAACGCUCCCUGCUGCAGUCACGCCUGCCCUCUGUCUUCUCGGAUCUUUUGAAUACUCUUGUUCCUGAUGAUUUCCACGCUUUCUGUAAUUUGCUUGCAUGCAUCUCUCCCACUAUACUCUGAACAACCUGAGCUCAUAUUUUAUUUACUCU
Camelus dromedarius (Arabian camel) is the source of this 762-nucleotide long non-coding RNA. RefSeq lists it as uncharacterized. NCBI's taxonomy places the organism in Eukaryota, Metazoa, Chordata, Mammalia, Artiodactyla, Camelidae. The transcript is spliced from 3 exons. The record is from RefSeq and is a predicted model, not a curated record.